RNAcentral lists this ribosomal RNA (497 nucleotides) under uncultured bacterium. Its description in RNAcentral is "partial 16S ribosomal RNA". It matches the Rfam family "Bacterial small subunit ribosomal RNA", at positions 28 to 507 of the family's 1533-position model. The record is from RNAcentral.
GAUGAACGCUGGCGGCGUGCCUAAUACAUGCAAGUCGAGCGAACAGAUGAGGAGCUUGCUCCUCUGACGUUAGCGGCGGACGGGUGAGUAACACGUGGAUAACCUACCUAUAAGACUGGGAUAACUACGGGAAACCGGCGCUAAUACCGGAUAAUCUAUUGAACCGCAUGGUUCAAUAGUGAAAGACGGUUUUGCUGUCACUUAUAGAUGGAUCCGCGCCGCAUUAGCUAGUUGGUAAGGUAACGGCUUACCAAGGCUACGAUGCGUAGCCGACCUGAGAGGGUGAUCGGCCACAUGGGAACUGAGACACGGUCCAGACGCCUACGGGAGGCAGCAGUAGGGAAUCUUCCGCAAUGGGCGAAAGCCUGACGGAGCAACGCCGCGUGAGUGAUGAAGGUCUUCGGAUCGUAAAACUCUGUUAUUAGGGAAGAACAAAUGUGUAAGUAACUAUGCACGUCUUGACGGUACCUAAUCAGAAAGCCACGGCUAACUACGUG